UAUUACCGCGGCUGCUGGGGAAUAUUGCACAAUGGGCGCAAGCCUGAUGCAGCCAUGCCGCGUGUAUGAAGAAGGCCUUCGGGUUGUAAAGUACUUUCAGCGGGGAGGAAGGCGAUGCGGUUAAUAACCGCGUCGAUUGACGUUACCCGCAGGAGAAGCACCGGCUAACUCCGUGCCAGCAGCCGCGGUAAUA
Molecule: ribosomal RNA, 193 nt
Filed under: uncultured bacterium
Lineage: Bacteria
Description: partial 16S ribosomal RNA
Rfam family: Bacterial small subunit ribosomal RNA
Source: RNAcentral